ACUCGAACGACCUCCGCGAGUGCGCACG
Molecule: small RNA, 28 nt
Filed under: Bombyx mori (domestic silkworm)
Lineage: Eukaryota; Metazoa; Arthropoda; Insecta; Lepidoptera; Bombycidae
Description: piRNA piR-bmo-1820647
Source: RNAcentral